AGCAGCCGCGGUAAUUCCAGCUCCAAUAGCGUAUAUUAAAGUUGUUGCAGUUAAAAAGCUCGUAGUUGAACUUCGGGGUUCACCCAUUGGUCAGGCUUAAUUGUCUGCACUGGUGAGAUGAGUCUCUACCUUCUGAGGAACUUUCAUGCCAUUUAUUUGGUGUGAUUGGAAAUCAGGACUGUUACUUUAGAAAAAAUUAGAGUGUUUAAAGCAGGCUAACGCCUGAAUACAUUAGCAUGGAAUAAUGAAAUAGGACGGACUGAUUCUAUUUCGUUGGUUUCUAGGAUCACCGUAAUGAUUAAUAGGGAUAGUUGGGGGCAUUAGUAUUCAAUUGUCAGAGGUGAAAUUCUUGGAUUUAUUGAAGACUAACUACUGCGAAAGCAUUUGCCAAGGAUGUUUUCAUUAAUCAAGAACGAAAGUUAGGGGAUCGAAGACGAUCAGAUACCGUCGUAGUCUUAACCAAUAAACCUAAUGCCGACUAGGGAGUCGGACGAAAGUUAAUUUUAAUAAUGAACGCGUU
RNAcentral lists this ribosomal RNA (520 nucleotides) under uncultured Diversispora. RNAcentral's name for it is "SSU rRNA". It matches the Rfam family "Eukaryotic small subunit ribosomal RNA", at positions 569 to 1079 of the family's 1831-position model. The record is from RNAcentral. Lineage: Eukaryota; Fungi; Glomeromycota; Glomeromycetes; Diversisporales; Diversisporaceae.